GUGUAGCUCAGUGCUGCUGCGAGGAGACACACCUGUAAGCAAUCCCAAUCAGCCCAACUACUUAUACCUGGUCCUCCUGCCACUUCAGAGCCGGAUUAUUCCUCCACCACUGCUAUCUCCCAGCUCACCAGUUUUUUCACCAGGCGUUUGGAGCCAGCUUCCUGGAUUUUUUGUUUUCUUCAGUUGUCUGUGUAAUAAACUGACUGAACUAUUCAC
Molecule: long non-coding RNA, 216 nt
Organism: Notolabrus celidotus (New Zealand spotty)
Lineage: Eukaryota; Metazoa; Chordata; Actinopteri; Labriformes; Labridae
Exons: 2
Source: RefSeq, a predicted model, not a curated record